GACGAACGCUGGCGGCGUGCUUAACACAUGCAAGUCGAACGGAAAGGCCCUGCUUUUGUGGGGUGCUCGAGUGGCGAACGGGUGAGUAACACGUGAGUAACCUGCCCUUGACUUUGGGAUAACUUCAGGAAACUGGGGCUAAUACCGGAUAGGAGCUCCUGCUGCAUGGUGGGGGUUGGAAAGUUUCGGCGGUUGGGGAUGGACUCGCGGCUUAUCAGCUUGUUGGUGGGGUAGUGGCUUACCAAGGCUUUGACGGGUAGCCGGCCUGAGAGGGUGACCGGCCACAUUGGGACUGAGAUACGGCCCAGACUCCUACGGGAGGCAGCAGUGGGGAAUAUUGCACAAUGGGCGGAAGCCUGAUGCAGCAACGCCGCGUGCGGGAUGACGGCCUUCGGGUUGUAAACCGCUUUCGCCUGUGACGAAGCGUGAGUGACGGUAAUGGGUAAAGAAGCACCGGCUAACUACGUGCCAGCAGCCGCGGUGAUACGUAGGGUGCGAGCGUUGUCCGGAUUUAUUGGGCGUAAAGGGCUCGUAGGUGGUUGAUCGCGUCGGAAGUGUAAUCUUGGGGCUUAACCCUGAGCGUGCUUUCGAUACGGGUUGACUUGAGGAAGGUAGGGGAGAAUGGAAUUCCUGGUGGAGCGGUGGAAUGCGCAGAUAUCAGGAGGAACACCAGUGGCGAAGGCGGUUCUCUGGGCCUUUCCUGACGCUGAGGAGCGAAAGCGUGGGGAGCGAACAGGCUUAGAUACCCUGGUAGUCCACGCUGUAAACGGUGGGUACUAGGUGUGGGGUCCAUUCCACGGGUUCCGUGCCGUAGCUAACGCUUUAAGUACCCCGCCUGGGGAGUACGGCCGCAAGGCUAAAACUCAAAGGAAUUGACGGGGCCCCGCACAAGCGGCGGAGCAUGCGGAUUAAUUCGAUGCAACGCGUAGAACCUUACCUGGGUUUGACAUGGAUCGGGAGUGCUCAGAGAUGGGUGUGCCUCUUUUGGGGUCGGUUCACAGGUGGUGCAUGGCUGUCGUCAGCUCGUGUCGUGAGAUGUUGGGUUAAGUCCCGCGACGAGCGCAACCCUUGUUCACUGUUGCCAGCACGUUAUGGUGGGGACUCAGUGGAGACCGCCGGGGUCAACUCGGAGGAAGGUGGGGAUGACGUCAAGUCAUCAUGCCCCUCAUGUCCAGGGCUUCACGCAUGCUACAAUGGCUGGUACAGAGAGUGGCGAGCCUGUGAGGGUGAGCGAAUCUCGGAAAGCCGGUCUCAGUUCGGAUUGGGGUCUGCAACUCGACCUCAUGAAGUCGGAGUCGCUAGUAAUCGCAGAUCAGCAACGCUGCGGUGAAUACGUUCCCGGG
RNAcentral lists this ribosomal RNA (1343 nucleotides) under uncultured bacterium. RNAcentral's name for it is "16S ribosomal RNA". It matches the Rfam family "Bacterial small subunit ribosomal RNA", at positions 28 to 1378 of the family's 1533-position model. The record is from RNAcentral.